GAUUGUUUUAAUGGGGCUGUGGCGGAGGUAACGAGCACAAAGAUAUCGUGCUGCCAGGAAAAAGCAGGCUCUCUCUUCGCCUAGCCUCGCAUUACAUGAUGUAACAUUUAGCUUCUGGCUCAACGUGGCAUCUCUUCCCUGCUCUGAUUUAUUUCCACUUUUGCAAAUCACAGAGGUAUGUUACAGGAGAUGCAUUUAGAGCUGUUGUUAUAUUCAUUGAGGAGCGAGGCUGUUAUCCCCACCAGAGGAAAAUCUCACACGUCUCAGGAUCAGAAUGGAAAAUAGAGCCACUGGGCUCCUUGCCUGGCUGGGAGUGCUGCUGAGUACACAGCCGCUACGAUAAUGCUCUGGACCAGAGAAGAGUCUGCAUGACAGGUGUGGUGCUCGACUCAGAAACACAGCUAUGAAGACACUGGCAGGCAAGCUGUGCUGUGGCGGAGUGAGGGAUGAAGGAGGAAGGCUUCUUCCCCAUGAAGGGGUGGCAGUGAGAGGGCGCCCUUGGAAGUGCUUGGCCUCCUCACUAGCUCUUCCCUAAGGGGGCACCGCUCCAUCUUAUUGGCCAGUUUGGGAGCAAGCACAGGGCCGCUGCCGGUAUUCCUCAGCCUCUGCCUGUACAGCACACGUGAUGAGCUGGGCUCUCCACAUGCCACAGCUUGAUGGUGAAGGCUCGAUGCCUUCUAGGCAGCCUACUGUGGUCUGGGGGAUAAGUUUAUACGAUUCUGAGAUUCAAGAUGGAAGCCCACAUCACCACUCCUAA
Long non-coding RNA from Manis javanica (Malayan pangolin), 757 nucleotides. RefSeq lists it as uncharacterized. The record is from RefSeq and is a predicted model, not a curated record. Lineage: Eukaryota; Metazoa; Chordata; Mammalia; Pholidota; Manidae.